RNAcentral lists this ribosomal RNA (484 nucleotides) under uncultured bacterium. Its description in RNAcentral is "partial 16S ribosomal RNA". It matches the Rfam family "Bacterial small subunit ribosomal RNA", at positions 30 to 507 of the family's 1533-position model. The record is from RNAcentral.
AUUGAACGCUGGCGGCAGGCCUAACACAUGCAAGUCGAGCGGAUGAAGGGAGCUUUCUCCUGGAUUCAGCGGCGGACGGGUGAGUAAUUCCUAGGAAUCUGCCUGGUAGUUGGGGAUAACGUCCGGAAACGGGCGCUAAUACCGCAUACGUCCUGAGGGAGAAAGUGGGGGAUCUUCGGACCUCACGCUAUUAGAUGAGCCUAGGUCGGAUUAGCUAGUUGGUGGGGUAAAGGCCUACCAAGGCGACGAUCCGUAACUGGUCUGAGAGGAUGAUCAGUCACACUGGAACUGAGACACGGUCCAGACUCCUACGGGAGGCAGCAGUGGGGAAUAUUGGACAAUGGGCGAAAGCCUGAUCCAGCCAUGCCGCGUGUGUGAAGAAGGUCUUCGGAUUGUAAAGCACUUUAAGUUGGGAGGAAGGGCAGUAAGUUAAUACCUUGCUGUUUUGACGUUACCAACAGAAUAAGCACCGGCUAACUUCGUG